This 349-nucleotide ribosomal RNA is filed under the name uncultured prokaryote. Its description in RNAcentral is "bacterial SSU rRNA". It matches the Rfam family "Bacterial small subunit ribosomal RNA", at positions 8 to 352 of the family's 1533-position model. The record is from RNAcentral.
AGAGUUUGAUCCUGGCUCAGGACGAACGCUGGCGGCGUGCUUAACACAUGCAAGUCGAACGGUUUAUAAGGGCUUGCCCUUAUAGAUAGUGGCGAACGGGUGCGUAACACGUGUGCAACCUGCCCCAAAGUUUAGGUAUAACACCGGGAAACCGAUGCUAAUACCAAAUAUGCUCACACUAUCGCACGAUCGGUUGAGGAAAGUUUUUACGUCUUCGGGAGGGGCGUCGCGGCCUAUCAGCUUGUUGGUGAGGUAACGGCUCACCAAGGCUUCGACGGGUAGCUGGUCUGAGAGGACGAUCAGCCACACUGGGACUGAGACACGGCCCAGACUCCUACGGGAGGGCGAC